ACUUAAAUUGAUCGGAUGAUUGGAGCUGUUUGAACACUAUAGGUAGAAUCAACCGUUUAUUAGUGAUGAUUGAUCAGGUGCUAAAUAAUGAAAACUUAUUAUAAUCAACAGAAUUAGUUUCGUUAACAUUUGGAUUCAGUUAUUAUUUUUAAUGUAGAAGGAUUUACUUGAAACGUACAGUAGAAAAAUGAAGAACAAUUGUGGCGAUUUUGUUUACGUAUGACGUAUAUUGUUUGCACUGCAUCGUACAACCUACAAACAUUUUGUCCUAGAAAAUGCGAGUAACAGUUUGUAGAAAACAAUUAGACUAUAGCUACACUCAUUGUAUAUUUAUAAAGAAAGCUAACAGGACCAAAAACAGGACAGCUUAGUCUUUACUUCAACAUAGACAUAAUACCAUUGUUUAUACUUACUUUUAUAGCAUAGAAAAAUUAUGUAGAGCAGACCCUAUAAGCAUUAAGUAUUUUUUAAAUUCAUAAAUGUUAAAGUCAAUGUUUAAACUAUGCUUACAAUGUUUAUGUUUCACUUUUAUCAAACAACUCGAGAAUCCAAAACAGCAUUUCAACUUUGUAAGUACCUUUCAGGGAACAUUCUCAAAUUUAGUAUUUGACAUCAUGUAUUGCAAUGUAACAAAUAAGGUUUGCAGGACAUUUAUUACUAGAAAAGACAAGAAAGCCACUAAACAUAGAAAUAAACCAAAUAUAAAAGGAGCAUAAACUAGCUUCCCUCCUUACCGAUCAAGCCAGAGACAUUUUGCGAUGCUACAAGAAUACGUUAUGAGGCCAAACAGCUAUAUAAUGGGUCAUCCCAUAGUUCUGUUGAUGACAAGUCUAUUCCAAGUGCCUUUUCAAUGAAAACACACAGCAUCGUACAACCUAUAUACCUUUUGUCUUCGAAAAUGUGAGAGGCAGUUUGUAGAAAACUAUUACACUAUAGCCACACUCAUUGGAUGUUUGUAAGGAGAGCUUACAGGACCAAAACAAGACAGGCUGAUGUUCAUUUUUAUCAAUUAACUUCAGAAUGCAAAACAGCGUUUCAACUUUGCAAGGUUUCCAGUGCAUUAAUUACUGGAAAAGAUAGGAAAGCAACUAAACAUAGAAACUAACCAUAUAUUAAAGGAGCAUAAAUUAGUUUCCCUACCUAUCAAGCCAGAAACAUUCCGCGAUGCUUCAAGAACACGUUAUGAGGCAAAACAGCUAUAUGAUGGGUCAUCCUAUAAUUCUGUUGAUGAGAAGUCUAUUCCAAGUGCCUUUUCAAUGAAAACACACAGCAUCGUAAAACGUAUAUACCUUUUUUCUUCGAAAAUAUGAGUGGCAGUUUGUAGAAAACGAUUACACUAUAGCUAUACUCAUUGGAUAUUUGUAAGGAAAGCUGACAGGACCAAAACAAGACAGG
Magallana angulata is the source of this 1395-nucleotide long non-coding RNA. RefSeq lists it as uncharacterized. The record is from RefSeq and is a predicted model, not a curated record. NCBI's taxonomy places the organism in Eukaryota, Metazoa, Mollusca, Bivalvia, Ostreida, Ostreidae. The transcript is spliced from 10 exons.